RNAcentral lists this ribosomal RNA (468 nucleotides) under uncultured bacterium. Its description in RNAcentral is "partial 16S ribosomal RNA". It matches the Rfam family "Bacterial small subunit ribosomal RNA", at positions 28 to 507 of the family's 1533-position model. The record is from RNAcentral.
GACGAACGCUGGCGGCGUGCUUAACACAUGCAAGUCGAACGGAAAGGCCCUUCUGGGUUCUCGAGCGGCGAACGCGAGCGUAACACGUGCGUAAGCGUCCCCUGCCUUUGGCAUAACGCUCGCUAACGGGGGCUAAUACUAGUUACGGCUCAGAUCUCCUGGUGGUCUGUGUGGAUAGUAAUGUUUCGGCGGUUGGGGAUGGACUCGCGGCUUAUCAGCUUGUUGGUGGGGUCUUGGCUUACCAAGGCUGGGACGGGUAGCCGGCCUGAGAGGGUGACCGGCCACACUGGGACUGAGACACGGCCCAGACUCCUACGGGAGGCAGCAGUGGGGAAUAUUGCACAAUGGGCGGAAGCCUGAUGCAGCGACGCCGCGUGCGGGAUGACGGCCUUCGGGUUGUAAACCGCUUUCGGCUGGGACGAAGCGUAAGUGACGGUACCUGCAGAAGAAGCGCCGGCUAACUACGUG